This 861-nucleotide ribosomal RNA is filed under the name Montenegrina skipetarica voidomatis. RNAcentral's name for it is "partial 16S ribosomal RNA". The stretch from base 350 to 600 matches the Rfam family "Archaeal large subunit ribosomal RNA", at positions 1784 to 2143 of the family's 2987-position model. Lineage: Eukaryota; Metazoa; Mollusca; Gastropoda; Stylommatophora; Clausiliidae. The record is from RNAcentral.
AAAAUAGUUAUAAUUAUAUUACCCGAAUACAGAAGAUCUAAGUGUGCAUUUAAGUUAUUAGACUGAUUUUACUGUGUUCUGUGGCAUUAGCUAUUAAGAUGGUACCUUAGGGGUGAAAGGCCUUCAAUUUUGUAGAUAACUGGAUAAAUGUUAAAUAUAUUAAGUUUAAAGUAAAAUUACAAAGUGAUAAGAUUUUGUAAGUAUAAUUUUUGUAUACAACAUAGCUGCCACCGAUUAAUAAUUUCAGGUACAACUUAGGCGAUGAAUGAUGCUACAAUAUAAUAAUUAUCUACCAACAUUUCAUUUUACUAUAUUUAUUUUGGGAAUAGAUAAUGUAUAAAUAAGUAUAUAUAAAUAUAAAUUUUAAUUAAGGAAUUCGGCAAAUAAAGAAUACGACUGUUUAACAAAAACAUAGCCGGUAGCUAUUAAAUUAUCGGUGAUACCUGCCCAGUGAAUUUUUAACGGCCGCAGUACUAUGACUGUGCAAAGGUAGCAUAAUCAUUUGGCUUUUAAUUGAAGUCUAGGAUGAAAGGAUAAACGUACUCAAGCUGUCUCGACUAUAAAAUUUAUCAAAAUUAUUUAUAGGGUGAAAAUACCCUAACUAAGAAAAAAAGACGAGAAGACCCUUAGAAUUUUAAGCAUGGCCGGACCUAGGAACGGCGUGAUUUUUGUUGGGGCAACAUUUUUUCAGGAAAACAAAAUUAAUAUCUAAACCACAAAACGAAUAAUAUUAAUAAAGUAUAAAUUACCUAAGGGAUAACAGCAUAAUUUUAAGUAAAGAUUGUGACCUCGAUGUUGGAUUAGGGGCUAUUAAGGCUAGUCGUUUUAAUAUAAUAGGUUCUGUUCGAACUUUAUUCCCUA